This is an RNA transcript of Zea mays, 322 nucleotides long. It is a transcript of the gene named protein kinase pseudogene, with no coding region annotated. Lineage: Eukaryota; Viridiplantae; Streptophyta; Magnoliopsida; Poales; Poaceae. The record is from RefSeq and is a predicted model, not a curated record. The transcript has 3 exons.
AUUCUAAUUCAAUUGUACUGCAACUCCAGAUCUGAACAGACAUUUGAGUACACUCCUCCAGAGGCACUCCUUAAUUCAAACUGGUUUCAAGGAUCAAGAAGUGCAAGGCUUAAGUAUGACAUCUGGAGCGUUGGAGUUGUCAUGCUAGAGUUGAUGAUGGGUUCUCCCCAUGUUUUUCAGAUAAGUGACCGUACACGUAUUUUAAUGGAUCAACAUCUCGGAGGGUGGAGUGAACAAACAAAGGAGCUUGCAUACAAGUUGAGGUCAUACAUGGAGUUGUGCAUUUUAGUCCCAGGGAUUUCCUCGCAACAUCAUGGCAGUG